This 28-nucleotide non-coding RNA is filed under the name Mus musculus (house mouse). Lineage: Eukaryota; Metazoa; Chordata; Mammalia; Rodentia; Muridae. The record is from RNAcentral.
UACUUUUAUUCAGGUGUGUCUUCUUAGC